AUUGAACGCUGGCGGCAGGCUUAACACAUGCAAGUCGAGCGGGGGAAGGUAGCUUGCUACCGGACCUAGCGGCGGACGGGUGAGUAAUGCUUAGGAAUCUGCCUAUUAGUGGGGGACAACAUCUCGAAAGGGAUGCUAAUACCGCAUACGUCCUACGGGAGAAAGCAGGGGAUCUUCGGACCUUGCGCUAAUAGAUGAGCCUAAGUCGGAUUAGCUAGUUGGUGGGGUAAAGGCCUACCAAGGCGACGAUCUGUAGCGGGUCUGAGAGGAUGAUCCGCCACACUGGGACUGAGACACGGCCCAGACUCCUACGGGAGGCAGCAGUGGGGAAUAUUGGACAAUGGGGGGAACCCUGAUCCAGCCAUGCCGCGUGUGUGAAGAAGGCCUUAUGGUUGUAAAGCACUUUAAGCGAGGAGGAGGCUACUUUAGUUAAUACCUAGAGAUAGUGGACGUUACUCGCAGAAUAAGCACCGGCUAACUCUGUGCCAGCAGCCGCGGUAAUACAGAGGGUGCGAGCGUUAAUCGGAUUUACUGGGCGUAAAGCGUGCGUAGGCGGCUUAUUAAGUCGGAUGUGAAAUCCCCGAGCUUAACUUGGGAAUUGCAUUCGAUACUGGUGAGCUAGAGUAUGGGAGAGGAUGGUAGAAUUCCAGGUGUAGCGGUGAAAUGCGUAGAGAUCUGGGAGGAAUACCGAUGGCGAAAGCAGCCAUCUGGCCUAAUACUGACGCUGAGUACGAAAGCAUGGGGGGCAAACAGGAUUAGAUACCCUGGUAGUCCAUGCCGUAAACGAUGUCUACUAGCCGUUG
Molecule: ribosomal RNA, 803 nt
Filed under: Acinetobacter baumannii Canada BC-5
Lineage: Bacteria; Pseudomonadati; Pseudomonadota; Gammaproteobacteria; Moraxellales; Moraxellaceae
Description: bacterial SSU rRNA
Rfam family: Bacterial small subunit ribosomal RNA
Source: RNAcentral